AUUGAACGCUGGCGGCAGGCCUAACACAUGCAAGUCGAGCGGAUGAAGGGAGCUUGCUCCUGGAUUCAGCGGCGGACGGGUGAGUAAUGCCUAGGAAUCUGCCUGGUAGUGGGGGAUAACGUCCGGAAACGGGCGCUAAUACCGCAUACGUCCUGAGGGAGAAAGUGGGGGAUCUUCGGACCUCACGCUAUCAGAUGAGCCUAGGUCGGAUUAGCUAGUUGGUGGGGUAAAGGCCUACCAAGGCGACGAUCCGUAACUGGUCUGAGAGGAUGAUCAGUCACACUGGAAGUGAGACACGGUCCUGGCUCCUACGGGAGGCAGCAGUGGGGAAUAUUGGACAAUGGGGGGAAGCCUGAUCCAGCCGUGCCGCGUGUGUGAAGAAGGUCUUCGGAUUGGAAAGCACUUUAAGUUGGGAGGAAGGGCAGUAAGUUAAUACCUUGCUGUUUUGACGUUACCAGCAGAAUAAGCACUGGCUAACUUCGUG
This 484-nucleotide ribosomal RNA is filed under the name uncultured bacterium. Its description in RNAcentral is "partial 16S ribosomal RNA". It matches the Rfam family "Bacterial small subunit ribosomal RNA", at positions 30 to 507 of the family's 1533-position model. The record is from RNAcentral.